RNAcentral lists this ribosomal RNA (386 nucleotides) under Choanoflagellata sp. RNAcentral describes it as "partial small subunit ribosomal RNA". It matches the Rfam family "Eukaryotic small subunit ribosomal RNA", at positions 582 to 975 of the family's 1831-position model. The record is from RNAcentral. Lineage: Eukaryota; Choanoflagellata.
AUUCCAGCUCCAAUAGCGUAUAUUAAAGUUGUUGCAGUUAAAAAGCUCGUAGUUGGAUUUCUGGCUUGGUAUGGGUGGUCCACCUCUGGUGAGCACUGCUCGACCGAGCCUUCCUCUCGAAGACCACGUGUGCCCUUAACUGGGUGUGCGUGGGAGUCGGGACCUUUACUUUGAAAAAAUUAGGGUGUUCAAAGCAGGCAAUCGCUUGAAUACAUUAGCAUGGAAUAAUGGAAUAGGACUUUGGUUCUAUUUUGUUGGUUUCUAGGACUGAAGUAAUGAUUAAUAGGGAUAGUUGGGGGCAUUAGUAUUUAAUUGUCAGAGGUGAAAUUCUUAGAUUUAUGAAAGACUAACUUCUGCGAAAGCGUUUGCCAAGGAUGUUUUCAUUG